RNAcentral lists this ribosomal RNA (448 nucleotides) under uncultured bacterium. RNAcentral describes it as "partial 16S ribosomal RNA". It matches the Rfam family "Bacterial small subunit ribosomal RNA", at positions 29 to 523 of the family's 1533-position model. The record is from RNAcentral.
AACGAACGCUGGCGGCAGGCUUAACACAUGCAAGUCGAACGCAUCCUUCGGGGUGAGUGGCAGACGGGUGAGUAACGCGUGGGAACGUGCCCCUCAGUUGGGAUAACCCAGGGAAACUUGGGCUAAUACCGGAUACGUGCGAGAGCAGAAAGAUUUAUCGCUGAAGGAUCGGCCCGCGUCUGAUUAGCUAGUUGGUGGGGUAAUGGCCCACCAAGGCGACGAUCAGUAGCUGGUCUGAGAGGAUGAUCAGCCACAUUGGGACUGAGACACGGCCCAACCUCCUACGGGAGGCAGCAGUGGGGAAGAUUGGACAAUGGGCGCAAGCCUGAUCCAGCCAUGCCGCGUGAGUGAUGAAGGCCUUAGGGUUGUAAAGCUCUUUCGUCCGGGACGAUAAUGACGGUACCGGAAGAAGAAGCCCCGGCUAACUUCGUGCCAGCCGCCGCCGUAA